UACAGAGGUCUCAAGCGUUGUUCGGAUUCAUUGGGCGUAAAGCGCGUGUAGGCGGCCACACAGGUCCGCUGUGAAAACUCGAGGCUCAACCUCGAGCUGUCGGUGGAAACCGUGUGGCUAGAGUCCGGAAGAGGAGACUGGAAUUCCCGGUGUAGCGGUGGAAUGCGCAGAUAUCGGGAGGAACACCCGUGGCGAAGGCGGGUCUCUGGGACGGUACUGACGCUGAGACGCGAAAGCGUGGGGAGCGAACAGG
Molecule: ribosomal RNA, 253 nt
Filed under: uncultured bacterium
Lineage: Bacteria
Description: partial 16S ribosomal RNA
Rfam family: Bacterial small subunit ribosomal RNA
Source: RNAcentral